This 1312-nucleotide ribosomal RNA is filed under the name Anchoa choerostoma (Bermuda anchovy). Its description in RNAcentral is "partial 16S ribosomal RNA". It matches the Rfam family "Bacterial large subunit ribosomal RNA", at positions 539 to 2568 of the family's 2925-position model. The record is from RNAcentral. Lineage: Eukaryota; Metazoa; Chordata; Actinopteri; Clupeiformes; Engraulidae.
UGAAAUAACCCAUUAAAGCGCAGCAAAGCAGAGCCUAUCUCUCGUACCUUUUGCAUCAUGAUUCAGCAAGUUUACUCAAGCGAAGAGCACUCUAGUUUGCACUCCCGAAACUUGACGAGCUACUCCAAGACAGCCAACCAUGGGCUAACCCGUCUCUGUGGCAAAAGAGUGGGAAGAUCUUCGAGUAGAGGCAAAAAACCUACCGAGCCAAGUUAUAGCUGGUUGCCCAAUAAAUGAAUACAAGUUCAGCCCUGUCUAGCCCAACUCGCGCCAGUUUUACAAAGAAAGACGAAGAGCUUGCCGACAGGAGUUAAUCAGAGGAGGUACAGCUCCCCUGAUACAGGACACAACCUUUUUAGGAGGUAAAAGAGUAUUAUCAAACAAGGCCUUGAGUCUCAGUGGGCCUGAAAGCAGCCAUCUGAUGUGAAAGCGUUAAAGCUCCGACCUAAAAGAAGCCUAUUAUUAGAUCUUAAUUUCUGUUCCCCUAAACCUUAUUGAGCCCUUUCAUGCACCCAUGGAAGAGACUAUGCUGAAACGAGUAACAAGAAGAAUGAACUUCUCCACGCACAAGUGUAUGUCAAAUUGGACCAACCAUUGACAAUCAACGAACCCAGCAAAAGAGGGCCUUACCCACCCGUCACUUCUGACCAAGAAAAUCACGUUAUCCGGAGUCGUUACCCCAACACAGGAGUGCUAGAACAAGGAAAGACUUAAAGAAAAAAAAGGAACUCGGCAAACCCAGACCUCGCCUGUUUACCAAAAACAUCGCCUCUUGCACCCCAAAGUAUAAGAGGUCCCACCUGCCCUGUGACUCUAAGUUUAACGGCCGCGGUAUUCUAACCGUGCGAAGGUAGCGCAAUCAAUUGCCUUUUAAAUGAAGGCCUGUAUGAAUGGUAUAACGAGGGUCUAACUGUCUCUUUUUUCCAGUCAGUUAAACUGAUCUGUCCGUGCAGAAGCGGACAUUAUUAUACAAGACGAGAAGACCCUAUGGAGCUUUAGACACUAGCCAACUGCGAAUAAGCGAUCAGGCUGAAUAGAUCUCAAGUACCCGCAGUUCAUGACAACGUAGUCUUAGGUUGGGGCGACCACGGGAGAAAAUAAAGCUCCCAAGCAGACCGGGAAAACCCUUAAGCCAAGAGUUGCAACUCUAAGCCACAAAAAUUUUGACUGAAAUGAUCCGGUUGAACGACCGAUUAACGGACCAAGUUACCCUAGGGAUAACAGCGCAAUCCUCUCCCAGAGUCCCUAUCGACGAGAGGGUUUACGACCUCGAUGUUGGAUCAGGACAUCCUAAUGGUGCAGCCGCUAUUAA